UAUCAUUUUAUACCUGGGGAUUUGCACGGUCCCAGACAGGACGACGCGCUUCGACACACACCGAGAAGGAUAUUGGAUUUACGCGGAUGUCUUCUGGAAACUGAUGAACCUCUUGGUUGUUGUUGUAUAGUAUCCUGUUGCUGCUACUUCUGUUGCCAGUGCUGUUAGUGUUACUACUAGUUCUACUAGUCGCGCCGCUACUAGAAGCCAUAGAACAAUGCACUCAAGGAAAAUUUACGAAGCCAGACAUCUCGGGGCCAUGUACGCGCAAUUUCAUCGAUACAAGGAAGACGCGGUUUUGUUCGACGCAAGUGACAAUAAACGUCGUUCAAUCAGCUUAAGAGGAAACGUUGGCGCGACGCCAACGGAAAGUCCGACGCGAAAAGAUGGAGCGUCUUGAGAAGUUACUGCUCGAAGCAAUUCCGGGUAUCCUUCGGGCAAAUGUCCAUUUUAGCACCCCAAGUGAUCACUAAGGAUUCUCAUUGGCAGGAUCACCCUUGAAAAAAAGUUUUCGGGUCGAAGCGAGCGAGAGUUAAAGCCUUCGGAGCCCUCGGAGAGUCCGUUAGGACUUUUCCAGAAGUCGGGAAACAUCGUUUCGCAGGCCGAAGAUAAAGGAACGGAGAGAGAAGACUGACGGCUACGAGAGGAUAUAAAAGAAGGGUGGCAAAGGUGUGCGGCAAGAGAGAAAUGGGUUAUACGGACGGCGUGAAG
Long non-coding RNA from Cephus cinctus (wheat stem sawfly), 711 nucleotides. RefSeq lists it as uncharacterized. Lineage: Eukaryota; Metazoa; Arthropoda; Insecta; Hymenoptera; Cephidae. The transcript has 4 exons. The record is from RefSeq and is a predicted model, not a curated record.